AAUAUUGGUCAAUGGAGGCAACUCUGAACCAGCCAAGUCGCGUGAAGGAUGACUGCCCUACGGGUUGUAAACUUCUUUUUUAAGGGAAUAAAGUUAGCCACGUGUGGCUUUUUGCAUUUACCUUACGAAUAAGGAUCGGCUAACUCCGUGCCAGCAGCCGCGGUAAUACGGAGGAUCCGAGCGUUAUCCGGAUUUAUUGGGUUUAAAGGGUGCGCAGGCAGAAUAUUAAGUCGGCGGUGAAAGUUUGCAGCUUAACUGUAAAAUUGACGUUGAUACUGGUAUUCUUGAGUGUAUAUGAAGUAGGCGGAAUUUGUAGUGUAGCGGUGAAAUGAAUAGAUAUUACAUGGAAUACCGAUUGCGAAGGCAGGUUACUACUAAUGUAUUGACGCUGAUGGACGAAAGCGUGGGUAGCGAACA
Molecule: ribosomal RNA, 417 nt
Filed under: uncultured bacterium
Lineage: Bacteria
Description: partial 16S ribosomal RNA
Rfam family: Bacterial small subunit ribosomal RNA
Source: RNAcentral